CCUCUUCACUCAGUACACGCCCUACACGCUGGCUGGAGGCAAGGCCUGGGACGAGCAGGAGAGAGACGCUUAUGCAGACAGAGCACAGCUGACUGCAUGAACCAAAGGAGUAGCAUAAGCCAGAGAGCCAAGGAAGGCUUUCAAAGGAAGGGACAGUCAAGCUGGGUUUCCAAGGAUGACUAGGAGCUGGCCAGGCAGCAAAGGGCAUUCCAAACAAGAGAAACAGCUUGAGCAGGCCGGGCGUGGGGGCUCAUGCCUGUAAUUCCAGCACUUCGGGAGGCCGAGGCAGGCAGAUCACCUGAGUGUUCGAUUGCAUCGAGGUCUAUGCCCCUGGCUUCAAGGACUCUGUGGUUGGCAGAGACAUCCUCACACCACCAGAUUUGGAGAGAAUCUUCGGGCUUCCUGGAGGG
RNAcentral lists this small RNA (410 nucleotides) under Pongo abelii (Sumatran orangutan). RNAcentral's name for it is "processed transcript". The record is from RNAcentral. Lineage: Eukaryota; Metazoa; Chordata; Mammalia; Primates; Hominidae.